Molecule: long non-coding RNA, 867 nt
Filed under: Callithrix jacchus (white-tufted-ear marmoset)
Lineage: Eukaryota; Metazoa; Chordata; Mammalia; Primates; Cebidae
Description: lncRNA (ENSCJAG00000054836.2)
Source: RNAcentral
UGAAACAUACUUGCCAUUGUGUCUGUCUAUCUUUACUUUUUUUUUUUGUCCCAGGUUUAUUGAACAUAAUACAGCAUUGCAGAAGAGAUUCAAACAGGUCCCUGAGGCAUUUUAAAAUUCAUCCCAACUGCAGGCUGAGUGACCUGCAGAUUGGACAGACUGCUGAAGUCCAAAAGCUUCAGCAUUUCCUUAGUGUCAGGAUCUACUUAAAUGAUCUUCUGAUCCAGGGCUGAGACCUCAGGAACGUAAUUGUCUCUCCUUUCUCUCUCCUGCAGCUUGAUGGAGGUACAUCUUACUGGGCCUCUCAGAAUCUGCUUCAUUAGAUGCGUGACAUAGCCUAUCUUGUAUUGGAGCUUCUUGCUAGGAAUAAUGGUGAUCUCCUUGCACACACUCUUGUUUGUGUGGAAGUCAUUGCUCAGGAAAUAGGUGAAGUGAGGAAUCCUUUUAUGCCCCACCUACUGUAAGGAUCACAGAGUACUUAGGUGAAGUCCAAUGGGACAACGAAGUAUGCACAUGAACAGAAGAGAUACAUGCAGUAUGCAUGCAAUGGGCUGAAUGAGCAGAGGAUAUGCAAAUAAUAUGCAUGUAAAAUAUGUAUAUAAAAUCCUAGCCCUCAACGUGAUGAUAUUAGGAGGUGUAAGGAAAUUAGUCAUGAGCGUGAAGUCUUCACGAAUAGUAUUAGUGCCUUAUUAAAGGGGUCCCAGAGAGAGAGCUCUCUUGCCCUCUUUCCACCAUGUGGGGAUCCAGGAAGACAGCCAUUUGCCAGCCAGGAGCAAGUCUGCAUCAGGACCUGACCAUGCUGGCAUACCGAUCUUGGACUCCCAGACUUCAGAAUUGUGAGAAAUAAAUUUCUGUUGUUUUUAAGAC